RNAcentral lists this long non-coding RNA (253 nucleotides) under Bos taurus (domestic cattle). RNAcentral's name for it is "long non-coding RNA NONBTAT015089". The record is from RNAcentral. Lineage: Eukaryota; Metazoa; Chordata; Mammalia; Artiodactyla; Bovidae.
CAAAGGUGAAAUCCCUAAUAAAGAGAGUUUCGCUAAGGAGGGGGAAAAACAGUGGAAAAACAUCCUUUCUUUGAAAGCUUCCUGAAUUGCCAUCAAAAUUGCCUUUCAGCAAUUGCGCACAGCUGAACGUUUUGCAAUACUAUUUGCAAAAGAAUGACUUCAAUUUUGUGCUCAAUGCAGCUGCCUGAUCUUCCCAAUCCUCUGCCUAAGGAAUGUAAGCAGCCCCCGGCUAGCCGGAUUUCACCUCGCUGGG